Parasteatoda tepidariorum (common house spider) is the source of this 929-nucleotide non-coding RNA. The record is from RefSeq and is a predicted model, not a curated record. Lineage: Eukaryota; Metazoa; Arthropoda; Arachnida; Araneae; Theridiidae.
AUGAGAGUGAUUUCCUGAGUCUGAGGGAACAGCUAGAGGAGCAUCGCGUUCUGAGAUUUUAAAUCAUCCCCUUCCGAUAACAACAGGAGGGAAGUAGUGGGUGCAAAUUUUUUUUUUCUUUUGUUGUUUCACGUGACAUGAAAUUCCGGGAUGCAGCAAAGUUCAACCUAACAGGCACAACUGGUUGUUUCUUCCUCGAAAGCGUGUGGAUAUUAUUCGCAGUUGCUCCUAAGUGGGUGUUUGAAAAUUGAAAUAAUUUGGAGGAGACAACACUGGCAAUUUAAGGUUUCAAAAAUGGCUAAGUCUUCUGGGUGUACUUUAAAAACUGAAAGUUACUGUCUACUGAGGUGAAGUAUCAUAUAAAGCUAACAUUUCAUGGUGCAUCAUUUAAGCAAAGUAAGUAAAGCAUAGAGCAAAUUUUAUGACCAAAUCUUAUGAAAUCUUAUAGAGCAAAUCUUAUGAAAUCUUAUAGAGCAAACAAUAUAAUCCCUCUUAUAAACUACAAUUGAAACGAUUUUUUUUCCUCACGAGGUUAUGUAUUUUAUUAAAAAAUAUAAAGAGUGAACUAUUAAUGCAAACUACCGAACUGUAGAAUAUUUUUGGUUUAUGAAACUGUGCAAUUAUUUUGUGGCUUAUUAGUUUAAGCCGGCUGCGUAGUAAUUUAAAGCUGUAAUGUAAAGCUAAAUAAUCAUUAAAAAUUAGGCAGGAGAGGGUGGUGUUUUAAUGAAACUGUACGAAGAUAAAAACAACAAUCAGCGUAAUUUUUGUAAAUUUUAUUGAUAAACCACUUUUAUGCUGUAUAAGUUGAACGACAUUGCUCAUCGUUUAAUUUCAUUUAAAUAUUACUUUCAUUUUAUUUAGAUUGUUACAAUAAUUUUAUUUUUCAUUUUCUGAAUCUCUUUAAUUGGAAAUAACACUCUUUAUUAGUU